This 497-nucleotide ribosomal RNA is filed under the name uncultured bacterium. RNAcentral describes it as "partial 16S ribosomal RNA". It matches the Rfam family "Bacterial small subunit ribosomal RNA", at positions 28 to 507 of the family's 1533-position model. The record is from RNAcentral.
GAUGAACGCUGGCGGCGUGCUUAAUACAUGCAAGUCGAGCGAACAGACGAUGAGCUUGCUCCUCUGACGUUAGCGGCGGACGGGUGAGUAACACGUGUAUAACCUACCUAUAAUACUGAGAUAACUUCGGGAAACCGGAGCUAAUACCGGAUAAUAUAUUGCACCGCAUGGUGCAAUAGAAAAUGACGGCUUUGCUGUCACUACUCGAUGGUUACGCGCUGCAUUAGCUAGUUGUUAAGUUAAAGGCCUACGAAGGCAACCAUGCGUAGCCGACGUGAGAGGUGGAUCGGCCACACUGGAACGGGACCAGGGUCCAGACUACUACGGGAGGCAGCAGUAGGGAAUCUGACGCAAUGGGCGAAAGCAUGACGGAGCAACGCCGCGUGAGUGAUGACGGUCUUCGGAUCGUAAAACUCUGUUAUUAGGGAAGAACAAAUGUGUAAGUAACUAUGGACGGCUUGACGGUACCUAAUCAGAAAGCCACGGCUAACUACGUG